CGAAGACUUGCUCCAGCCACAUGCCACUCCCCUGUGCUCGUCUUGCCGCUGCCGCUUCUGCUGCCUGCUUCCCGCUUGCCCACGGCAGCGCAACGAUUGUAGGACUUGGUGCAGAGGAAUGGAGUACGAGUACGGAUGCUGCCUCUGUUGAUCUCAGAGGACAUGAUCAGUUGUGUUUCAAAUUAUAGAGCAAGCAAGGUACACAGUGC
Long non-coding RNA from Triticum dicoccoides, 209 nucleotides. RefSeq lists it as uncharacterized. The transcript has 3 exons. The record is from RefSeq and is a predicted model, not a curated record. NCBI's taxonomy places the organism in Eukaryota, Viridiplantae, Streptophyta, Magnoliopsida, Poales, Poaceae.